This 436-nucleotide unclassified non-coding RNA is filed under the name Hevea brasiliensis (rubber tree). Lineage: Eukaryota; Viridiplantae; Streptophyta; Magnoliopsida; Malpighiales; Euphorbiaceae. The record is from RNAcentral.
AAUUUACUAUGUGAAUCUCCGGCGAAGCUUCUCUUUGAAUCUCCGGCGGAAGUUUCUCUGUGAAUCUCCGGCGAAGUUCUCCGUGAGUAUUGAUUUUCAGUGGCGAGUGUUUUUGUUUUUAGGUUGAAAUGUAUGACCUGAUCCAGUGAAGAAAAAAUCUGCCAUGUUUGGGCUAAAUUUGAAGUUAUUCGGAGUACUUAGACUUUGUCAGUUGUACAGAUAUGUUUAAUUGGAACGACGAAGAGACCACCCCUUGUAGAGACAGAGACGAAUCCAAUAGACCGCACUGUAGCUCAUCUGCUCUUCUACAAUCCAUCAGAGUUGCCGUCAAAACUUGCUGAAUUUCCCAAGUCAUCAAUGUUUUCAAUGCUCAAUUGUGAAAGAGAAGCAAUUGGUUCACCAAGCUUCCCAAGCAGAUUUUCACAACAGAAUUCUG